UACGUAGGGUGCGAGCGUUGUCCGGAAUUAUUGGGCGUAAAGAGCUCGUAGGCGGUUUGUCGCGUCGACUGUGAAAACCUGGGGCUUAACUCUGGGCCUGCAGUCGAUACGGGCAGACUUGAGUUCGGUAGGGGAGACUGGAAUUCCUGGUGUAGCGGUGAAAUGCGCAGAUAUCAGGAGGAACACCGGUGGCGAAGGCGGAUCUCUGGGCCUUACCUGACGCUGAGGCGCGAAAGCUAGGGGAGCGAACAGG
RNAcentral lists this ribosomal RNA (253 nucleotides) under uncultured bacterium. RNAcentral describes it as "partial 16S ribosomal RNA". It matches the Rfam family "Bacterial small subunit ribosomal RNA", at positions 524 to 776 of the family's 1533-position model. The record is from RNAcentral.